RNAcentral lists this ribosomal RNA (433 nucleotides) under uncultured bacterium. RNAcentral's name for it is "partial 16S ribosomal RNA". It matches the Rfam family "Bacterial small subunit ribosomal RNA", at positions 29 to 507 of the family's 1533-position model. The record is from RNAcentral.
AACGAACGCUGGCGGCAUGCCUAACACAUGCAAGUCGAACGAGACCUUCGGGUCUAGUGGCGCACGGGUGCGUAACGCGUGGGAACCUGCCCUUAGGUUCGGAAUAACUCCCCGAAAGGGGUGCUAAUACCGGAUAAUGUCUUCGGACCAAAGAUUUAUCGCCUUUGGAUGGGCCCGCGUUGGAUUAGCUAGUUGGUAGGGUAAAAGCCUACCAAGGCGACGAUCCAUAGCUGGUCUGAGAGGAUGAUCAGCCACACUGGGACUGAGACACGGCCCAGACUCCUACGGGAGGCAGAAGUGGGGAAUAUUGGACAAUGGGCGAAAGCCUGAUCCAGCAAUGCCGCGUGAGUGAUGAAGGCCUUAGGGUUGUAAAGCUCUUUUACCCGGGAUGAUAAUGACAGUACCGGGAGAAUAAGCUCCGGCUAACUCCGUG